RNAcentral lists this ribosomal RNA (269 nucleotides) under uncultured prokaryote. RNAcentral's name for it is "partial 16S ribosomal RNA". It matches the Rfam family "Bacterial small subunit ribosomal RNA", at positions 524 to 792 of the family's 1533-position model. The record is from RNAcentral.
UACGGGGACCCCUAGCGUUGUUCGGAAUUACUGGGCUUAAAGCGGGUGUAGGCGGAGCGGCAAGUACCUUGUGAAAGCCCCGGGCUCAACCCGGGAAUUGCUGGGUAUACUGUUGCUCUUGAGGCAGACAGGGGUCACUGGAACCUUAGGUGGAGCGGUGAAAUGCGUAGAUAUCUAAGGGAACGCCUGUGGCGAAAGCGGGUGACUGGGUCUGUUCUGACGCUGAGGCCCGAAAGCGUAGGGAGCGAACGGGAUUAGAUACCCUAGUA